This 253-nucleotide ribosomal RNA is filed under the name uncultured bacterium. Its description in RNAcentral is "partial 16S ribosomal RNA". It matches the Rfam family "Bacterial small subunit ribosomal RNA", at positions 524 to 776 of the family's 1533-position model. The record is from RNAcentral.
UACAUGGGGUGCAAACGUUGCUCGGAAUUAUUGGGCGUAAAGCGCGCGUAGGCGGUUACUCAAGUCGGAUGUGAAAGCCCUCGGCUUAACUGAGGAAGUGCACCCGAAACUGAGUAGCUAGAGUACUAAAGAGGGUCGCGGAAUUCCCGGUGUAGAGGUGAAAUUCGUAGAUAUCGGGAGGAACACCUGCGGUGUAGACGGCUUACUGGACCAUAACUGACGCUGAGGCACGAAAGCGUGGGUAGCAAACAGG